AAUUGAAAGAGUUAAUAUUCUUCGUGUGGGGCCUUUCCUCCCCAUCCCCCUCUCCAGCCUGGACCUUAAGUGUCUGUGACAGCCAUUUUUGUGUGUGUGUGUGUGGUAAAUACACAUAACAUAAAAUUGACCAUUCUAACCACUUUUAAGUAUACAGUGAAGUAACAUUACAUACGUUCACAUUUCGGGGCAAACCACUAUUCAUCUCCAGAACUUUUUCAUAUCAUCCCAAACUGAACCUCUGGACCCAUUAAAUGCUAACUCCUCAUUCCUCUCUCCCCUCUGCCCCUGGUAACCACUAUUCCACUUUCUAUCUCUGUGAAUGUGAUUCUUCUAAGUCCCUCCUAUAGAAGGAGCCAUGCAAAUAUUUGCCCUCCGUGGUGGAUAAUUUUAUGUGUCAACUUGGCUAGUCUGUGGCGACCACUUGCUUGGUCAAACGCCAGCCUAGAUGUUGCCAGGAAGGUAUUUUUUCAGAUGUGAUUAACAUUCAAGUCAGUAGACUUUGCGUAAAGCAGAUCGCUAUCCAUAAUGUGGGUGGGCCUCGUCCAUCAUUUGAAGACCUUAGGAGGAAUGAUUGUGUUUUCCGGGAUAGAAGGGAAUUCUGCCUCCAGAGUGCAACAGAGAAAUUCUGCUUAUGUUUCUAGCCUUCAUACUCAAGACUGCAACAUCGACCCUUCCCCGAGUUUCCAGGCUGCUGGCCUCCGUUACAGAUUUCAGGCUUGCCAAUCCCCACAAUCACCCCAAAUAUCACCUCCUCCUGGAAGCCUUCUGGAGCGUUCUCACAUGGGACAGUCUCCACGUUUAGGAGGCCACCCGCAUGAAAGAGCCCUGGGCAGGAAGCUGGAUGGAGGCAAUGUUCUCAGCUCCUCCAUUUCUCCACCUUGCCCCAAGAGGCCUUGAGUUCACCAGCUGGAAGUUUCCAGGACACGCCAAGGAUUUCUGUCAGGCUUGGGAUCUGACAGCGGGACACCCAGGGCUGCUCUCUGGCUUCCCAGUGCCCCAGGGAGCCAGUGACAAGGAUGAAGAGAGGAUGGGGCUGCCCCUGGGGACCCCAAGCCCCAGAGGCUCCACUACAAGAUGAGAAUAAUCUAUCUCGGAGAGCACCUGGAGGAUUAAAUGAGGCAACAUGAAGCACCCACACAGAGUAAUCACUCCAUACAGGAGGAUAGGACUACUGUGGUUGACACUAUUUUUAUUAUGAACCAGGUGGCUUUGGGCAAAUGGCAUAAUGUCUCUCCACCCCAUUUCCCCGAUCUCCAAAAAUAACAAUAAAAGCUUCACAGAGGGGCUCUGGGCAUUCAAUGAGAUAAAACAUGUAGCAUGAGGGUGCCUGGCUGGCUCAGUCUGGAGAGCAUGUGACUCCUGUCCUCCCGGUCGGGAGUUCGAG
Long non-coding RNA from Mustela erminea (ermine), 1387 nucleotides. RefSeq lists it as uncharacterized. The record is from RefSeq and is a predicted model, not a curated record. Lineage: Eukaryota; Metazoa; Chordata; Mammalia; Carnivora; Mustelidae. The transcript has 3 exons.